GCUCAUUUCUCCUGUUCUUCUCUCUACACGUUGGUGUUCUAACCAAUAAUCACCAUGCGAUAUUCUGUCCGAUCGAUUCGGUAACCAACUAACGAAUGCCAAAGUGUUGUCUAAACAAGACUAUACUUUGUGAAUUUCGUUAAGGUUCUGAAACGAAUGCCAAAGUGCUGUCUAAACAAGACUAUACUUUGUGAAUUUCGUUAAGGUUUUGAUCUCAUGACCAUCGUUAGGUUUGCUUUGGUAUAACACUAACACGUAUUCCACUCUGAUAAACUAAAUGUUUAACUACCCAACUCUGCACUGUACACUUACAAUCAAAAUAGAUGCUCAAUCAUCAGAAGAUUCAGAACUAUAAAGUAGAUGCUUGUUUAAUCAAGACUAUAUGCUAACAAGGUGAGUCGUUCUCUUUUUAUCAACAAUGUUUUACAAUACUCAAAUUAUUUUCAAAAGUUAUAAUUACAGGGAUUAAGUCUUGGUUAUCUUGAAUCACUGGCAAGUGGGGUAUUGUGCACAUUACUAAUUUCUCACGGUUAGGUUCACCAACCUAACAGUGAUAAUCAUCACUACUUGGGUGAAAGGACCCAAUAGUGGUAUGACCAUCGUCACCAGGGUGUGGCACGACGCCAUAUAAAAAUAAGAUAGUAGCUAUUGUAAUCGCUCUUAUGCUGUAAUUUAUAACAAUGUGUCGUUUUGUAAUGCCAGUAGAUUGGAAUAAGAGUGAUGAUACGGCACCGAAAGGCUUAAAGAAGUGGCUUAUUUUAUCAAUUGAAUUAAAUUAAGAAAACACGGUUUUAUAUAUUCGGGGGUAAGGUUCAUUUGAGAAGAAAAUUUAAUUGAGAAGAAAAAGAACAAAGGGUAAUUUUGUAAAACAUUAAAUAGUUUUUUCACUUAUCUCAUUUAUUAUCAUUUUUGACUAAUUAAUUAAUCAUAAAGACUAUUAUCCUCCACACUAACUUUUUUUUUUGCCUACACACAUAAAAAGUUAUCCUACAUAUUUCGAAAUUCAUCCUACAUGUUGAAAUUUAUCCUACACAACUCGUAAUUUGUCCUACACAACUCGUAAUUUAUCCUACACUUUAAAUUAUUUUAUUUUAUUUUUUUUGAAAAAAUAUAUAUUUUGAAGAUAAGUUACAAAAAUUUAAUGUAUUAGCUAUUAAAGAGGAAGACUACAAAUUAAUGACCUAUGUAGAUUUACCAAUUUACCCUUGUAGUAACAUUAAAUAUUUAUAUUAAAUGAAGUAAAAUAAAGCAUUCUUAUUGGUUGAAAUUUGUUCUUUUUUCUUCUUACAAAAAAUUUCUUCUCAUUUGAACUCUCCACUUAUCCCUUAUUAAAGCUACCAUUGUAAAACAUGGGUUUUAUCCCACCUAUUUAAUAAAUAAAAUCCGGUGUUUUCUAAAACUCUGAUAUUUUUCCUAACUCGCGGUCCUGAUGAAAUUUCCCGCUGCAAUAUUUUCAAAAUAACCACCGGUACCACUUGACUGCUCGCGGCUCCCGUCCAGGGUGUGGUCGGGGGUCGUGACAUCAGCCGUCGUCGCCCGAUGUUCCCACCCUUUAGUCGCAGUCGCCCGUUAUCGUCGCACCAAUCUACGCCACAGAUAAGACGUACAUCUCGUGAAUCUUACGAGUGAUGAAUCGAAUGUUUGAAGAUCCAAAAAUCAAAGAAAACGCCUUGUUACUGAAAUUAUUAAUCCCUACACAUCCUAAAGUUCAAGGGUUUUAUGUAUAUAGUACAAAGAUAGUAUUAGGGUAGUUAUGAAGUACGGGUACUAGAUGUGACAAUACAGAAGUUGAUAACCAACUCCCUAAAGGAAUCGAUGUGUCCCUUGGACACGCCCUCUGAUCGAUGGCUUUAAAGGAAAAGAAAGAGACGCACCUCUUCAAGUACAAUCACAUCCACAAGAUAAAGAGAUGCACCUGUUCGUGAAGAGACAUGCCUCUACAAUCGCACCUUUUAGUUACUUAUAAAUAGGGCUUUAGAUUUCAAUUGUAAAACAUACAUGUAUUCAGAGAUUCAAGUUAUAUUCAAGUUCAAUUUGUUAU
Molecule: long non-coding RNA, 2041 nt
Filed under: Helianthus annuus (common sunflower)
Lineage: Eukaryota; Viridiplantae; Streptophyta; Magnoliopsida; Asterales; Asteraceae
Description: hypothetical non coding rna
Source: RNAcentral